Dromiciops gliroides (monito del monte) is the source of this 354-nucleotide long non-coding RNA. RefSeq lists it as uncharacterized. The record is from RefSeq and is a predicted model, not a curated record. NCBI's taxonomy places the organism in Eukaryota, Metazoa, Chordata, Mammalia, Microbiotheria, Microbiotheriidae. The transcript is spliced from 3 exons.
GCUGUGUGUACAGCGGAACUGAAGCCCUGCAGAAUUAAAGAUUGCAGGGUUGGGGGAAGGGUCUGUGUACAGAAACUGGUUUCCUGAAGCAGAGGCCUCUAGGUAGCAGAAUGGCCUACUGCAUCUCUGGACAUUGAGAGAUCCUGCAGGACAAAGGAGAGUGUGCUGAGUCAUGUGAACUGAGCCGUGUGACAGGAAACUCGGAUUGAACUGGAUAAAGACUGCUAGCCUGGGGAAUGCCAACAGGUGGGAACCUCCCAGGGCCAUACUCUGUGCAGCUGUCUUCUCAUUUUCCAGCCUCCCAAGAGGUGCUGGGAAGUUCACAUACUAUUUUGGAGUUCCUGGGAUCCUAAG